Molecule: ribosomal RNA, 490 nt
Filed under: uncultured bacterium
Lineage: Bacteria
Description: partial 16S ribosomal RNA
Rfam family: Bacterial small subunit ribosomal RNA
Source: RNAcentral
AUUGAACGCUGGCGGCAGGCCUAACACAUGCAAGUCGAAUGGUAACAGGAAACAGCUUGCUGUUUCGCUGACGAGUGGCGGACGGGUGAGUAAUGUCUGGGAAACUGCCUGAUGGAGGGGGAUAACUACUGGAAACGGUAGCUAAUACCGCAUAACGUCGCAAGACCAAAGAGGGGGACCUUCGGGCCUCUUGCCAUCAGAUGUGCCCAGAUGGGAUUAGCUAGUAGGUGGGGUAACGGCUCACCUAGGCGACGAUCCCUAGCUGGUCUGAGAGGAUGACCAGCCACACUGGAACUGAGACACGGUCCAGACUCCUACGGGAGGCAGCAGUGGGGAAUAUUGCACAAUGGGCGCAAGCCUGAUGCAGCCAUGCCGCGUGUAUGAAGAAGGCCUUCGGGUUGUAAAGUACUUUCAGCGGGGAGGAAGGGAGUAAAGUUAAUACCUUUGCUCAUCGACGUUACCCGCAGAAGAAGCACCGGCUAACUCCGUG